GGGGGCAUAGUUUAGUAGUAAAAUUUCCGUCUCCAAAACGGACGUCCUAGGUGCAACUCCUAGUGCCCCCGCCG
Molecule: transfer RNA, 74 nt
Filed under: Candidatus Yanofskybacteria bacterium RIFCSPHIGHO2_02_FULL_39_10
Lineage: Bacteria; Candidatus Yanofskyibacteriota
Description: tRNA-Trp
Rfam family: tRNA
About the family: Transfer RNA (tRNA) molecules are approximately 80 nucleotides in length. Their secondary structure includes four short double-helical elements and three loops (D, anti-codon, and T loops).
Source: RNAcentral